GCAGACGUAUGAGUCCCAACUCCACCCAGUCCGGCCUGGCCUCUGUCCCCGGGUGACCGCGGAAUGGGGGGGCGGGAGCUAGCGAGCAGGCCCUCAAGCGCGUCUGGCCGCCUCCUUUGUCUUGAUGCCCACGUCUGGUUAGGACCCCUGCUGUCCAUUUUAUUAAAGGAGCUGUAGAAAGCGGCCUGGGGCCCAGCGACCUGCCCAGGGCGGACGAGGAGGCGCGACUGGCCCGAUGCCGCAGGCUCUCUGCCCAGUGUGCUCAG
RNAcentral lists this long non-coding RNA (266 nucleotides) under Homo sapiens (human). RNAcentral's name for it is "non-protein coding lnc-IAH1-2:13". The record is from RNAcentral. Lineage: Eukaryota; Metazoa; Chordata; Mammalia; Primates; Hominidae.